Molecule: ribosomal RNA, 437 nt
Filed under: uncultured Oscillospiraceae bacterium
Lineage: Bacteria; Bacillati; Bacillota; Clostridia; Eubacteriales; Oscillospiraceae
Description: bacterial SSU rRNA
Rfam family: Bacterial small subunit ribosomal RNA
Source: RNAcentral
ACGGGAGGCAGCAGUGGGGAAUAUUGGGCAAUGGGCGAAAGCCUGACCCAGCAACGCCGCGUGAAGGAAGAAGGCCUUCGGGUUGUAAACUUCUUUUACCAGGGACGAAGGACGUGACGGUACCUGGAGAAAAAGCAACGGCUAACUACGUGCCAGCAGCCGCGGUAAUACGUAGGUUGCAAGCGUUGUCCGGAUUUAUUGGGUUUAAAGGGUGCGUAGGCGGCAUCUCAAGUCUGUGGUGAAAUGUCAGGGCUCAACCUUGGCACUGCCAUGGAAACUGGGGGGCUAGAGUGCGUUUGGGGUGCAUGGAAUGUGUGGUGUAGCGGUGAAAUGCAUAGAUAUCACACAGAACGCCGAUCGCGAAGGCAGUGCACCAAGCCGCGACUGACGCUGAGGCACGAAAGUGCGGGGAUCGAACAGGAUUAGAUACCCUGGUA